GGUGACUCAGUGGUAGAGUGCUUGCCUUGCAAGCAUGAGGCCCUGGGUUCAAUUCCUCAGCACCU
This 65-nucleotide transfer RNA is filed under the name Dipodomys ordii (Ord's kangaroo rat). It matches the Rfam family "tRNA". Rfam says of the family: Transfer RNA (tRNA) molecules are approximately 80 nucleotides in length. Their secondary structure includes four short double-helical elements and three loops (D, anti-codon, and T loops). Lineage: Eukaryota; Metazoa; Chordata; Mammalia; Rodentia; Heteromyidae. The record is from Rfam by way of RNAcentral.